AUUGAACGCUGGCGGCAGGCCUAACACAUGCAAGUCGAGCGGAUGAAGGGAGCUUGCUCCUGGAUUCAGCGGCGGACGGGUGAGUAAUGCCUAGGAAUCUGCCUGGUAGUGGGGGAUAACGUCCGGAAACGGGCGCUAAUACCGCAUACGUCCUGAGGGAGAAAGUGGGGGAUCUUCGGACCUCACGCUAUCAGAUGAGCCUAGGUCGGAUUAGCUAGUUGGUGGGGUAAAGGCCUACCAAGGCGACGAUCCGUAACUGGUCUGAGAGGAUGAUCAGUCACACGGGAACUGAAACACGGCCCGGCCUCCUCCGGAGGGAAGGAGUGGGGAAUUUUGGACAAGGGGGAAAAGCCGGAUCGAGCCUUGCGGUGGGGGGAAGGAGGGUCUUCGAAUUGAAAGCCACUUUAGUUUGGGAGGAAGGAAAGUAAUUUAAUCCCUUGUUGUUUGGAGUUACCAAAAAAAAAAACACCGGCCAACUUCGGGC
RNAcentral lists this ribosomal RNA (484 nucleotides) under uncultured bacterium. Its description in RNAcentral is "partial 16S ribosomal RNA". It matches the Rfam family "Bacterial small subunit ribosomal RNA", at positions 30 to 508 of the family's 1533-position model. The record is from RNAcentral.